Molecule: unclassified non-coding RNA, 203 nt
Filed under: plant metagenome
Description: partial contains small subunit ribosomal RNA and internal transcribed spacer 1
Rfam family: Eukaryotic small subunit ribosomal RNA (bases 1-46)
Source: RNAcentral
AAGUCGUAACAAGGUUUCCGUAGGUGAACCUGCGGAAGGAUCAUUAUCGAAAAUAAAGGGUUGUCUGCUGGCCUCUCGGGGCGCGUGCACGCCCAAAUCCACAACACACCUGUGAACCCACCGUAGGCCUUCGGGCUUAUGUAUCAUAUACUCUGAAUGUGUCAUAGAAUGUUCAUGUUGCCUUAAAACGCAAUCAAAUACAA